This is a long non-coding RNA of Panicum virgatum (switchgrass), 1647 nucleotides long. RefSeq lists it as uncharacterized. The transcript has 3 exons. The record is from RefSeq and is a predicted model, not a curated record. Lineage: Eukaryota; Viridiplantae; Streptophyta; Magnoliopsida; Poales; Poaceae.
UUCCUCUCUCUAAUCCCCUUCUCUCCCUCUCAGAUUCUAUUGCUACUAGGUCAUUGCCGUGUAUUGCUGCUGCGUCAUCGAGCCGGCCGCUGUGCUACAGCAUAGGAGCCGCUUCGUCCAUGGUGACUUCCGUAAUUAGGUAAAAUCACAAAUUAUCCACUAAUACCAUGGUUCCUAGGUUUAAUUUUGGUGGGUAAUCACAUGUAUUGCAUAGGACCGUAGGGUUGUGAUCUGAUGUUCAGAGAACGCAUAGGAAUAGCUUGUGUGAAAGAUGUUCCUAUGACAAGGCUGAAAGAAUUUAGUUAGUAGCUAUGGUUUGGUGUGACUCCAGACUGAGCCAAAGUACUCUGAUUUCAGGUCUCUAUUGCUCUGUACGACCAUUCAAUUGUGUACUAAAUAGUGUAUACCGAGCAACAUGUGUGCACAUCAAAGUAGGACAGAGCAGCAGGUUAUAGCUAAUUGACCUGGGAAUGAACUGACGCCCUAAAGUACUCUGUUGCUCUGCAGGAAAACUACUACCACCACUGUCAGCUACAAUUACUCAAGAGUCUAAUUAUUGAUACUGAAAAUGGAAAUUAUAUGACAAGAAAAAUGCAAAACCUAGAGUUGUCCUAACCUAACAGAUGCAUGCUCUGAACUAAUUCUUCUUGCCCCUCUGCUACUCCUUAUCAGUUUAGUUUUUCAGGCUAUGAACAAGAGCUAUCUGAUGUGCUGCUGAUUUGAAAGAAACCUAAGGUUGAGGGUACACUUCUGAGUGGAUCAUGUUUUGGAGAAGAAAAAGCUUCAGAGCCAAGCAAAGAGCCGGGUUGCUUCUUGCUGUGUGCGUUGCUUGAGAGAGAAGAUAGCAGAAAUGAGCUUCUCCAUCAGAACAGGAAGAGCUGAGAAGGAAAUUUGCUUCCUGCUAUACAAGGUUUCCUAAACUGCCAAGGUUGUGACACCCAAAAUUCACAAUUGAGCAGUGAUGACGAGGGAGGCAGCUAACAGUCGAAGCGGACGCGGGUGGCCGGUGGUGAUUACGAAUUUACAAUGCAUUGCAUCCUCUACAGGUCACGCGAUGGCUUGAGUUAGAUAUGCUUUUUUAGGCUUGUUCAUGAUAUGCUUUUUUCUGUACAAUUGUCCAUUGAAGUAUUUUUUAUGCAUGUUUCUUUUUGCAUUACUGGGCAAGUUUGCAGUCAGGGUCUUGAUCAAUAAAUGCUCCCCUCUGACAUAUAUUAUCUUUUGGUUGUUUUCAUGUGCAUGCUUCAACUGACACAGAGCUUAUAGGAGCUUUGAUGGACUUGUCUUGCUGGCCACGCAACAGCAACAACAACAGCAUCACUGUUUUUUGGAGUCCAUAUUAAUAGUUGUUGCCGAAUUGUCUUUGAUGUAUAACUCGAUAUCACUAUAUAUCAAGCAAUUUUGUGUAAACAAGUAGUUUGGUUAGUAGUCUGUGUUCUCUCUCCCAGAUGGACAUAUGUGCCAUUUUACAGCAAGUUGGAUUUCUGACUGCUGAAAUUCGGGUUUUCAUGACCUGGCUUGCACCUAAUAUUUUCCCGUCAAAGAAUGGGAUGCAAUUGUGGAUUUCUAAUACUGUUCUUGCAGUGUACUUUGAGAAUUCGAGAUUAUAUUAAAUCAAAAUAAUUUAUGAAAGCUUGAAGAAUUGUAUUA